AAUCAACUGUGAGUUACAGGAAAAGUAGGUAACACAGGCCAAUAGAUUUUAUUGGCCUCCACACUACAAAAACUAGAAAGUGCUCAGCGCGAGGGACACCAAAAUGAAGACAGAAAGCCGUGA
Molecule: long non-coding RNA, 123 nt
Filed under: Aotus nancymaae (Ma's night monkey)
Lineage: Eukaryota; Metazoa; Chordata; Mammalia; Primates; Aotidae
Description: lncRNA (ENSANAG00000039482.1)
Source: RNAcentral